GGAGGAGUGUCAGAGUGGCCGAAUGAGCACGCUUGGAAAGCGUGUGUACGUGAAAACGUACCGUGGGUUCGAAUCCCACCUCCUCCG
RNAcentral lists this transfer RNA (87 nucleotides) under Parachlamydia sp. Its description in RNAcentral is "tRNA-Ser". It matches the Rfam family "tRNA". From Rfam's summary of the family: Transfer RNA (tRNA) molecules are approximately 80 nucleotides in length. Their secondary structure includes four short double-helical elements and three loops (D, anti-codon, and T loops). The record is from RNAcentral. Lineage: Bacteria; Pseudomonadati; Chlamydiota; Chlamydiia; Parachlamydiales; Parachlamydiaceae.